Dryococelus australis is the source of this 72-nucleotide non-coding RNA. NCBI's taxonomy places the organism in Eukaryota, Metazoa, Arthropoda, Insecta, Phasmatodea, Phasmatidae. The record is from the annotation of a GenBank genome assembly.
AGCAGAGUGGCGCAGUGGUAGGGUGCUGGAUCCAUAAUCCAGGCGUCCGUGGAUCGAAGCCAUGCGCUGCUA